AUCUAGGUAGCUUAAAUUUAAAGCACAUCCCUGAAGAAGAUAAAAUGAGUUCCUCCCUAGGUA
This 63-nucleotide transfer RNA is filed under the name Metaphire soulensis. RNAcentral describes it as "tRNA-Phe". Lineage: Eukaryota; Metazoa; Annelida; Clitellata; Crassiclitellata; Megascolecidae. The record is from RNAcentral.